Molecule: RNase P RNA, 428 nt
Filed under: Hyphomicrobiaceae bacterium
Lineage: Bacteria; Pseudomonadati; Pseudomonadota; Alphaproteobacteria; Hyphomicrobiales; Hyphomicrobiaceae
Description: RNase P RNA component class A
Rfam family: Bacterial RNase P class A
About the family: Ribonuclease P (RNase P) is a ubiquitous endoribonuclease, found in archaea, bacteria and eukarya as well as chloroplasts and mitochondria. Its best characterised activity is the generation of mature 5'-ends of tRNAs by cleaving the 5'-leader elements of precursor-tRNAs. Cellular RNase Ps are ribonucleoproteins.
Source: RNAcentral
CCAGUCGGCCGGACGGUCGCUGGCGCGGCGGCUUGCGUCGUGGCUACCGGCCAUGGCCACAAUCUUCGCGCUGGAGGAAAGUCCGGGCUCCAUGGAAACACGGUGGCGGCUAACGGCCGCCGGGGGCGACCCCAGGGAAAGUGCCACAGAAAGCAAACCGCCUUGCGGCUUCGGCGGCGGGCAAGGGUGAAAGGGUGCGGUAAGAGCGCACCGCGCGGCUGGCGACAGUCGUGGCAAGGUAAACCCCACCGGGAGCAAGACCAAAUAGGGGUGGCCGGGCGCGUGUGGUUCGCCGCAUGGCGCCGAGCCCGUUUCCAGGCCCGCUACCCGGGUUGGUUGCUCGAGGCGUCCAGCAAUGGGCGUCCCAGAUGAAUGGCCGUCGCGGAGGCAACUCCAGACAGAACCCGGCUUACAGGCCGACUGGUGAA